UGAAGGGGGGAAUAAUUCGCUCCGCACAGGUUUACGGCUAUUUUCCAGAAAUUAACUCCUCACUCAUGGCUCGUGUUUCUCCCAAAUCACCUCCAAAGCAACGGUGUUUAUGAGCCUACCUAAUCCGAUACUGCAAUGGAAUUCCGGAUAUUUGCAGACAGAUCUCCCGGCUUUGCAUGUGUUUGAUGAGAUACGUUCGGAAUCUCCUUUUUUCUAGAGCCGGGUUCCUGGCUGUACAGCAAGCCGACCUGAGGCUGCGGCCCCUGCCCCACACCCGGGCAGCGCGACCGGCCCAAGGCCAGCGCAGGACGCAGCCCCUCCGGGGCCGGGGCUGGCGAGGCAGCUCGGGCUACGGGCCGCUCUGCAACAGGUCACCCUGACCGCGAGUCCGCGGGUUCGCGGGCGGCCAACUCUGCGGCCAGGAUUCUGGGCGCAGCCGCCGGGGCCAGGGGAGGGGGUGUGGCCCGGCUUCUGCUGGUCGUGGCUCCGAGGUCCGGGAUCGGGCUCACCUGAAGGUAGGCUGACGCGCCGCUGGGCGUCAGAACAGCGCGGGCGGAGGCUGGGGGCUUCCGCCACCCAAGAGGGAGAGCGAGGCGGGUUCAAGGGGUCUCCGCGCCCCCGGCUUCAGGACGGCGCCCCCAAGCGGGGACCCCACGACCGCUCCGACUCCGAGAACCCGCGGCCGAGGGAGGCGCGCCCCCCAGCGCCCCUCUACCUCAGCCCCAGCUCCGCAACCCCCUCCCUGCGCGCAGGGAGAGCAGCCCCGGGGCCCGCGGCCGGCAGAACCACACUCCGCAGCGCCGCCGCCGCCGCCAUUCCCCGCGCCGCCCGGGGGGCGCCGCGCACCCACCCUCCCUCCCUCCCCCGCAUCGCCCCGCGGCCUGAGCCCACCGACCUGUGCAGCCGCGACCGUCGCCUCAGAGGAUGGAAAGACGACGCCGGCCUCACGCUUCGCCGCCACGGCCGCCGCCUAGAGUAACGCUCGCCGACCCGAACAGUCACCGUCUCUCAUUCAGCGCCCGCAGCAGCCGCCGCCACCGCUGCCGCCGCUCGGGGGAGGAGACUUUUCGGCCCAGCGGAGCCCAACUGCCGCCGGGGAUCGGUGUUCGCAGCGCGCGCAGCCAACUGCAACCCCCAUCGCCCGGCGCCUGCUGAAAGGAGCGGCUCCCACCGGC
Molecule: RNA transcript, 1175 nt
Organism: Piliocolobus tephrosceles (Ugandan red Colobus)
Lineage: Eukaryota; Metazoa; Chordata; Mammalia; Primates; Cercopithecidae
Gene name: translation initiation factor IF-2-like
Exons: 2
Source: RefSeq, a predicted model, not a curated record